Molecule: ribosomal RNA, 660 nt
Filed under: uncultured bacterium
Lineage: Bacteria
Description: bacterial SSU rRNA
Rfam family: Bacterial small subunit ribosomal RNA
Source: RNAcentral
AGUGGCGGACGGGUGAGUAACGCGUGAGAAUCUGCCUUGGGGUCGGGGACAACCACUGGAAACGGUGGCUAAUACCGGAUACGCCUUCGGGUAAAAGAUUUAUUGCCCUAAGAGGAGCUCGCGUCUGAUUAGCUAGUUGGUGAGGUAAGAGCUCACCAAGGCAGCGAUCAGUAGCUGGUCUGAGAGGACGAUCAGCCACACUGGGACUGAGACACGGCCCAGACUCCUACGGGAGGCAGCAGUGGGGAAUUUUCCGCAAUGGGCGAAAGCCUGACGGAGCAAGACCGCGUGAGGGAGGAAGGCUCUUGGGUUGUAAACCUCUUUUCUCAGGGAAGAAGCUCUGACGGUACCUGAGGAAUCAGCCUCGGCUAACUCCGUGCCAGCAGCCGCGGUAAUACGGAGGAGGCAAGCGUUAUCCGGAAUUAUUGGGCGUAAAGCGUCCGCAGGUGGCAAUUCAAGUCUGCUGUCAAAGCACGGGGCUUAACUCCGUAAAGGCAGUGGAAACUGAAUAGCUAGAGUGCCGUAGGGGUAGAGGGAAUUCCCGGUGUAGCGGUGAAAUGCGUAGAGAUCGGGAAGAACAUCGGUGGCGAAAGCGCUCUACUGGACGGCAACUGACACUCAGGGACGAAAGCUAGGGGAGCGAAUGGGAUUAGAUACCCC